UCGAACGGUACAGGACUAGCUUGCUAGUUGCUGACGAGUGGCGGACGGGUGAGUAACGCGUAGGAAUCUACCCAUCUGAGGGGGAUACCAGUUGGAAACGACUGUUAAUACCGCAUAGUAUCUGUGGAUUAAAGGUGGCUUUUGGGCUGUCGCAGAUGGAUGAGCCUGCGUUGGAUUAGCUAGUUGGUGGGGUAAGGGCCUACCAAGGCUACGAUCCAUAGCUGAUUUGAGAGGAUGAUCAGCCACAUUGGGACUGAGACACGGCCCAAACUCCUACGGGAGGCAGCAGUGAGGAAUAUUGGACAAUGGGGGCAACCCUGAUCCAGCAAUGCCAUGUGUGUGAAGAAGGCCUUAGGGUUGUAAAGCACUUUAGUUGGGGAAGAAAGCUUUGAGGUUAAUAGCCUUGAGGAAAAGGACGUUACCCAAAGAAUAAGCACCGGCUAACUCCGUGCCAGCAGCCGCGGUAAUACGGGGGGUGCAAGCGUUAAUCGGAAUUACUGGGCGUAAAGGGUCUGUAGGUGGUUUGUUAAGUCAGAUGUGAAAGCCUAGGGCUCAACCUUGGAACUGCAUUUGAUACUGGUAAACUAGAGUACGGUAGAGGAAUGGGGAAUUUCUGGUGUAGCGGUGAAAUGCGUAGAGAUCAGAAGGAACACCAAUGGCGAAGGCAACAUUCUGGACCGAUACUGACACUGAGGGACGAAAGCGUGGGGAUCAAACAGGAUUAGAUACCCUGGUAGUCCACGCUGUAAACGAUGAGUACUAGCUGUUGGAGUCGGUGUAAAGGCUCUAGUGGCGCACGUAACGCGAUAAGUACUCCGCCUGGGGACUACGGCCGCAAGGCUAAAACUCAAAGGAAUUGACGGGGACCCGCACAAGCGGUGGAGCAUGUGGUUUAAUUCGAUGCAACGCGAAGAACCUUACCUGGUCUUGACAUCCUGCGAUCUUUCUAGAGAUAGAUUGGUGCCUUCGGGAACGCAGUGACAGGUACUGCACGGCUGUCGUCAGCUCGUGUUGUGAAAUGUUGGGUUAAGUCCCGCAACGAGCGCAACCCCUAUUGAUAGUUACCAUCAUUAAGUUGGGUACUCUAUUGAGACUGCCGCUGACAAGGCGGAGGAAGGUGGGGACGACGUCAAGUCAUCAUGGCCUUUACGACCAGGGCUAC
This 1162-nucleotide ribosomal RNA is filed under the name Francisella endosymbiont of Dermacentor variabilis. RNAcentral describes it as "bacterial SSU rRNA". It matches the Rfam family "Bacterial small subunit ribosomal RNA", at positions 62 to 1217 of the family's 1533-position model. The record is from RNAcentral. Lineage: Bacteria; Pseudomonadati; Pseudomonadota; Gammaproteobacteria; Thiotrichales; Francisellaceae.